GCGGCUGCUUAACAUGCAGUCGAACGGCAGCACGGAGCUUGCUCUGGUGGCGAGUGGCGAACGGGUGAGUAAUAUAUCGGAACGUACCCUAGAGUGGGGGAUAACGUAGCGAAAGUUACGCUAAUACCGCAUACGAUCUAAGGAUGAAAGUGGGGGAUCGCAAGACCUCAUGCUCGUGGAGCGGCCGAUAUCUGAUUAGCUAGUUGGUAGGGUAAAAGCCUACCAAGGCAUCGAUCAGUAGCUGGUCUGAGAGGACGACCAGCCACACUGGAACUGAGACACGGUCCAGACUCCUACGGGAGGCAGCAGUGGGGAAUUUUGGACAAUGGGCGAAAGCCUGAUCCAGCAAUGCCGCGUGAGUGAAGAAGGCCUUCGGGUUGUAAAGCUCUUUUGUCAGGGAAGAAACGGUGAAAGCUAAUAUCCUUUGCUAAUGACGGUACCUGAAGAAUAAGCACCGGCUAACUACGUGCCAGCAGCCGCGGUAAUACGUAGGGUGCAAGCGUUAAUCGGAAUUACUGGGCGUAAAGCGUGCGCAGGCGGUUUUGUAAGUCUGAUGUGAAAUCCCCGGGCUCAACCUGGGAAUUGCAUUGGAGACUGCAAGGCUAGAAUCUGGCAGAGGGGGGUAGAAUUCCACGUGUAGCAGUGAAAUGCGUAGAUAUGUGGAGGAACACCGAUGGCGAAGGCAGCCCCCUGGGUCAAGAUUGACGCUCAUGCACGAAAGCGUGGGGAGCAAACAGGAUUAGAUACCCUGGUAGUCCACGCCCUAAACGAUGUCUACUAGUUGUCGGGUCUUAAUUGACUUGGUAACGCAGCUAACGCGUGAAGUAGACCGCCUGGGGAGUACGGUCGCAAGAUUAAAACUCAG
RNAcentral lists this ribosomal RNA (865 nucleotides) under Burkholderiales bacterium Control.22. RNAcentral's name for it is "bacterial SSU rRNA". It matches the Rfam family "Bacterial small subunit ribosomal RNA", at positions 39 to 904 of the family's 1533-position model. The record is from RNAcentral. Lineage: Bacteria; Pseudomonadati; Pseudomonadota; Betaproteobacteria; Burkholderiales.